This 242-nucleotide ribosomal RNA is filed under the name uncultured bacterium. RNAcentral describes it as "partial 16S ribosomal RNA". It matches the Rfam family "Bacterial small subunit ribosomal RNA", at positions 28 to 261 of the family's 1533-position model. The record is from RNAcentral.
GAUGAACGCUGGCGGCGUGCCUAACACAUGCAAGUCGAACGGAGUUACGAGAGCUUGCUUUUGUUAACUUAGUGGCGAACGGGUGAGUAAUGCGUGAGCAAACCUGCCCUUCAGAGGGGGACGAACAGUUGGAACGACUGCUAAUACCGCAUAAUGUAUUUUAGGAGGCAUCUCCUGGAUACCAAAGGAGAAAUCCGCUGAAGGAUGGGCUCACGUCUGAUUAGCUAGUUUGGUGAGGUAAC